RNAcentral lists this long non-coding RNA (887 nucleotides) under Numida meleagris (helmeted guineafowl). RNAcentral's name for it is "lncRNA (ENSNMEG00000019321.1)". The record is from RNAcentral. Lineage: Eukaryota; Metazoa; Chordata; Aves; Galliformes; Numididae.
ACAGAGAAGUCAAAGAAAAGUGUCUCUGUCAUAGUGGAACUUCUGGAACACUCGUGCCAGAUCCUGGAAACACAGGACUAUCAAAAACUCCCAAAAAGUUACAAAAGGAGUUUGAUGGUUUAUAGAGAGGGAUACUGUCUUUCAGGCUCUCUGCAUGCUGCCUUUGAAGCUGGUAUCUUCCUUCUUGUUAUAUCCAAAGAAUUUUAAAUGUAAUUGGAAUCUAGACUGAGAGAACAAUUUUAUCUCUAUUUGUGCAGUAACUGACAGAGUGACAUCAGUCCUGAGAUUUCUCUGAUGGUUGGUGUGAUACAAAUGAGCCAAUAAUAGAAACUCAUUUUAAAACAGAUCAGGCACCUAUUACCCAAAAAGUUUGCUGCCAUCCAUCCAAUCUGUUCAACUUUUAAUGCUGAAUGUGAGAAGAGAAAAAGGUCGUUCCUUGUGGCUCUAAACCCAGCAGCACAGGGACCCAAGCCUUGACCUGCUAUAACACCCAGGAGGAGAAAAACGUUGGACAAUUGUCUUAAUGUUUCAACCACCAGAAAACCAGCUGAGAAGCAAAUGAAGUUGGAGAGUCCUGGAAGCUGCAUGACUGAUCUAUCAAGACUUCCACUGUACUUGAAAGGUCCAUGGGUCACAACUGCAGGAAGUCACAUUUUGAGACCCAGCUAUGAAGCUAUUCGAAUGGCCUGAAGAUAUAUCCCACAUCAAAUGGCUGACCUCCUGCACUCCAAUGCUGCAGAUCACGCCAGACUGCUGUAUUGCACAAUUCUGCAGUAGCUGUGGUUUCCAAAGAAAACAUUCCAGGAGACUGCAUCACACUGGUUAAUAUAGCAAAAAAGAGUGUGCUUUUUCUUAUUCCUGAAAUUUAAUGAAUAAAACAAGGUAAU